AACAUCAUGGUGAACCGUCAUGGCAACACGGCACAUAUUUACAGUCUCUCGAGCACACAGCACAGUCACCGUGGAGUUUUGAAACAGCCAGACCCCAGAGAAAAAGCUUCUCAAACCAAGACCCAUGCAUAAGAGCACUUCUCCAGUCCAACAACAAAUUCUUAUGGAGCAGCAGAGAAACCUUAUAAGGAUGGUGCAAGAUCUAAAAGCACACAAUGUUUGUGAAACCACAGAGGCUGACCAUUUAAGUCCAAAAAGAUUUCCCAUUAAAGACUUAAGGUCAUUAACAUCUCUGGAAAGUGACCUUCGAUCCUGUCCAGAAACUAGACGAAAAGUGGUACUUGAACUAGGAUUGCUGGGUGGAGUAAAUGUAAAGGACACGGUCUGGCGAAUUAUGAGGCUGGCCAUCAAAAAUGACUUUGCCAAAGCGGUGAACUGGAAAGGUGUAAAGGUGCUUGGUUUCUGUAGUCUUUGUUAUUUUUGUAUUUUAAAUAUUUGUUUUCAU
Molecule: long non-coding RNA, 505 nt
Organism: Hemibagrus wyckioides
Lineage: Eukaryota; Metazoa; Chordata; Actinopteri; Siluriformes; Bagridae
Exons: 3
Source: RefSeq, a predicted model, not a curated record